RNAcentral lists this ribosomal RNA (433 nucleotides) under uncultured bacterium. Its description in RNAcentral is "partial 16S ribosomal RNA". It matches the Rfam family "Bacterial small subunit ribosomal RNA", at positions 29 to 507 of the family's 1533-position model. The record is from RNAcentral.
AACGAACGCUGGCGGCAUGCCUAACACAUGCAAGUCGAACGAGACCUUCGGGUCUAGUGGCGCACGGGUUCGUAACGCGUGGGAACCUUCCCUUAGGUUCGAAAUAACUCCCCGAAAGGGGUGCUAAUACCGGAUAGUGUCUUCGGACCAAAGAUUUAUCGCCGUUGUAUGGUCCCGAGUUGGAUUAGCUAGUUGGUAGGGUAAAAGCCUACCAAGGCGACGAUCCAUAGCUGGUUUGAGAGGACGAUCAGCCACACUGGGACUGAGACACGGCCCAGACUCCUACGGGAGGCAGCAGUGGGGAAUAUUGGAAAAUGGGCGAAAGCAUGAUCCAGCAAUGCCGCGUGAGUGGUGAAGGCCUUAGGGUUGUAAAGCUCUUUUACCCGGGAUGAUAAUGACAGUACCGGGAGAAUAAGCUACGGCUAACUCCGUG